This 319-nucleotide long non-coding RNA is filed under the name Selaginella moellendorffii. RNAcentral's name for it is "long non-coding RNA (SMOE_LNC001149)". The record is from RNAcentral. Lineage: Eukaryota; Viridiplantae; Streptophyta; Lycopodiopsida; Selaginellales; Selaginellaceae.
CAACAUCCCAGAGUCCGGCGGCUCCAAGCCCGUUUCAGAGUGCCCCGGUAACUCCAAGCCCGUUCCAGAGUGCUCCGGCAACUCAAAGCUCGUUCUCACAGACGCCACCUCCGCCAAGCGCUCCACAAACUCCAAGCCCGUUCCAAUCACCUCCGGCAACUCCAGGUCCGUUCCAAACACCUCCGGCAACUUCAAGUCCGUUCCAAACACCUCCGGCAACUCCAGGCCCGUUCUCAAGUCCUCCGGCAUCUCGAAGCCCGUUCCAGAGCUCUCCGGCAAUGUCAAGCUCGUUCCCGGGCACUCCAGCGGCUCCUCCAAG